Molecule: long non-coding RNA, 523 nt
Organism: Vigna radiata var. radiata (mung bean)
Lineage: Eukaryota; Viridiplantae; Streptophyta; Magnoliopsida; Fabales; Fabaceae
Exons: 3
Source: RefSeq, a predicted model, not a curated record
UUUUAGUUCAAAAGAAAAAGCUGAAUUCUUUGAACUUUUCUCUUUGUCUGGAAAACGAACCUCUCCAAGCUCUCUUGCUACUUUUGCUUUCUAUUCCAAAAUCCUGCAGAUUUAAUCCCCUAAAUUCCUCCUUGCAGCUGUCUAAAGCGAUUGAACACCAAGACCUCCUUUUUCUCCGAUCAAUUUCUGUUUUCGAAGAAGGGGGUUAGAGGUAAAUUCGGAAUUUUGAGGAAACAUAGAAGAAGCAUUGAGUUGUUAUGUUAGAAUCCAAGGAUAUUUCAGAGGCCCCUCUGGAGCAGGUUUUAGACAUAGCUGAUACGGCUGAAGUCCCUGACACUGCAGCUGAGUAGUCUAGGUUGUUAGUUUUAUUUGUAUAGUUUAAUUCCUUUACUCUUUUCUUCUUUUGAAAGACUCUAUGCUAUAAGUAGAGCUUUAUUUCUUCUCUUGUAUUUUGGAUGACUGUACUGUAUAUACAUUUCAUCUGAAUUUCCACUCCUAACUACUUUACAUUAUUAUAACAUGU